Molecule: transfer-messenger RNA, 369 nt
Filed under: Myceligenerans xiligouense
Lineage: Bacteria; Bacillati; Actinomycetota; Actinomycetes; Micrococcales; Promicromonosporaceae
Description: Standard tmRNA
Rfam family: transfer-messenger RNA
About the family: Bacterial tmRNA, also known as 10Sa RNA or SsrA, is named for its dual tRNA and mRNA-like properties. Its role is to liberate the mRNA from a stalled ribosome. To accomplish this part of the tmRNA is used as a reading frame that ends in a translation stop signal.
Source: Rfam by way of RNAcentral
GGGGCUGAUCGGUUUCGACGGUGGUCGUGCUUCGAGGGGAAGCGGGCCGAGGAUGCAGACUUAUCUCGUUAACGAUGUCUGUAAACCAAUAGUUGCCGAUAACACGCGCAACGACUUCGCCCUCGCCGCCUGAGGCGAGCCUGAAGUCCGUCGGUCCGAGGGUGCUCUCACCUCGGUCACCGGCGUCAUCUUGAGAGCCACUGCUUGUGGUCCACGUCAUCGGGACCACAGGGACUUCUAGGUGACUGAGCCCGUCCGUGAAUGUGUCUGCGCAAGCACGGGGGCCGAGAAAAUCCAUAGCAGACUGCGCCCGGAGAAGUCCUCGAAAAGUGACACCGGACCCGGGUUCGAUUCCCGGCAGCUCCACGA